RNAcentral lists this ribosomal RNA (990 nucleotides) under uncultured organism. RNAcentral's name for it is "bacterial SSU rRNA". It matches the Rfam family "Bacterial small subunit ribosomal RNA", at positions 168 to 1161 of the family's 1533-position model. The record is from RNAcentral.
ACUGCGUAACAUUAUAUUAUCGCAUGGUAAAAUAAUCAAUCUACGGAGGAUACAGAUGGGCAUGCGUGCCAUUAGCUAGAUGGUAAGGUAAGGGCUUACCAUGGCGACGAUGGCUAGGGGUUCUGCAAGGAAGAUCCCCCACACUGGUACUGAGACACGGACCAGACUCCUACGGGAGGCAGCAGUGAGGAAUAUUGGUCAAUGGAGGCAACUCUGAACCAGCCAAGCCGCAUGAAGGAAGACUGUUCUAUGAAUUGUAAACUUCUUUUGUGACAGAGUAAAGAUAGCUACGCGUAGUUAUUUGCAAGUAUGUCAUGAAUAAGCAUCGGCUAACUCCGUGCCAGCAGCCGCGGUAAUACGGAGGAUGCAGGCGUUAUCCGGAUUUAUUAGGUUUAAAGGGUGUUCAGGCUGUCUGGUAAGUCAGAGGUGAAAGUCGGUUGCUUAACGAUCGAAUUGCCUUUGAAACUGUCAGACUUGAGUAUGGAUGCGGUAGGCGGAAUGUGUAGUGUAGCGGUGAAAUGCAUAGAUAUUACACAGAACACCGAUUGCGAAAGCAGCUUACCAAACCAGCACUGACGCUGAAGCACGAAAGCGUGGGUAGCGAACAGGAUUAGAUACCCUGGUAGUCCACGCAGUAAACGAUGUUCACUCGCUGUUGGCAAUAGAUCGUCAGCGGCUAAGGGAAACCGAUAAGUGAGCCACCUGGGGAGUACGAUCGCAAGAUUGAAACUCAAAGGAAUUGACGGGGGCCCGCACAAGCGGUGGAACAUGUGGUUUAAUUCGAUGAUACGCGAGGAACCUUACCUGGGCUUAAAUGUACGAUGCAUAAGUGUGAAAGCACUUUUUCCUUCGGGACUUUGUACAAGGUGCUGCAUGGUUGUCGUCAGCUCGUGCCGUGAGGUGUCGGGUUAAGUCCCAUAACGAGCGCAACCCCUAUUGUUAGUUACCAGCGCGUAAAGGCGGGGACUCUAGCGAAACUGCCGGUGUAAA